GAUGAACGCUGGCGGCGUGCCUAAUACAUGCAAGUCGAGCGAACAGACGAGGAGCUUGCUCCUCUGACGUUAGCGGCGGACGGGUGAGUAACACGUGGAUAACCUACCUAUAAGACUGGGAUAACUUCGGGAAACCGGAGCUAAUACCGGAUAAUAUAUUGAACCGCAUGGUUCAAUAGUGAAAGACGGUUUUGCUGUCACUUAUAGAUGGAUCCGCGCCGCAUUAGCUAGUUGGUAAGGUAACGGCUUACCAAGGCAAUGAUGCGUAGCCGACCUGAGAGGGUGAUCGGCCACACUGGAACUGAGACACGGUCCAGACUCCUACGGGAGGCAGCAGUAGGGAAUCUUCCGCAAUGGGCGAAAGCCUGACGGAACAACGCCGCGUGAGUGAUGAAGGUCUUCGGAUCGUAAAACUCUGUUAUUAGGGAAGAACAAAUGUGUAAGUAACUAUGCACGUCUUGACGGUACCUAAUCAGAAAGCCACGGCUAACUACGUG
This 497-nucleotide ribosomal RNA is filed under the name uncultured bacterium. RNAcentral describes it as "partial 16S ribosomal RNA". It matches the Rfam family "Bacterial small subunit ribosomal RNA", at positions 28 to 507 of the family's 1533-position model. The record is from RNAcentral.